RNAcentral lists this ribosomal RNA (2932 nucleotides) under Escherichia coli. RNAcentral's name for it is "23S ribosomal RNA". It matches the Rfam family "Bacterial large subunit ribosomal RNA". The record is from RNAcentral. Lineage: Bacteria; Pseudomonadati; Pseudomonadota; Gammaproteobacteria; Enterobacterales; Enterobacteriaceae.
GGGUUGUGAGGUUAAGCGACUAAGCGUACACGGUGGAUGCCCUGGCAGUCAGAGGCGAUGAAGGACGUGCUAAUCUGCGAUAAGCGUCGGUAAGGUGAUAUGAACCGUUAUAACCGGCGAUUUCCGAAUGGGGAAACCCAGUGUGUUUCGACACACUAUCAUUAACUGAAUCCAUAGGUUAAUGAGGCGAACCGGGGGAACUGAAACAUCUAAGUACCCCGAGGAAAAGAAAUCAACCGAGAUUCCCCCAGUAGCGGCGAGCGAACGGGGAGCAGCCCAGAGCCUGAAUCAGUGUGUGUGUUAGUGGAAGCGUCUGGAAAGGCGCGCGAUACAGGGUGACAGCCCCGUACACAAAAAUGCACAUGCUGUGAGCUCGAUGAGUAGGGCGGGACACGUGGUAUCCUGUCUGAAUAUGGGGGGACCAUCCUCCAAGGCUAAAUACUCCUGACUGACCGAUAGUGAACCAGUACCGUGAGGGAAAGGCGAAAAGAACCCCGGCGAGGGGAGUGAAAAAGAACCUGAAACCGUGUACGUACAAGCAGUGGGAGCACGCUUAGGCGUGUGACUGCGUACCUUUUGUAUAAUGGGUCAGCGACUUAUAUUCUGUAGCAAGGUUAACCGAAUAGGGGAGCCGAAGGGAAACCGAGUCUUAACUGGGCGUUAAGUUGCAGGGUAUAGACCCGAAACCCGGUGAUCUAGCCAUGGGCAGGUUGAAGGUUGGGUAACACUAACUGGAGGACCGAACCGACUAAUGUUGAAAAAUUAGCGGAUGACUUGUGGCUGGGGGUGAAAGGCCAAUCAAACCGGGAGAUAGCUGGUUCUCCCCGAAAGCUAUUUAGGUAGCGCCUCGUGAAUUCAUCUCCGGGGGUAGAGCACUGUUUCGGCAAGGGGGUCAUCCCGACUUACCAACCCGAUGCAAACUGCGAAUACCGGAGAAUGUUAUCACGGGAGACACACGGCGGGUGCUAACGUCCGUCGUGAAGAGGGAAACAACCCAGACCGCCAGCUAAGGUCCCAAAGUCAUGGUUAAGUGGGAAACGAUGUGGGAAGGCCCAGACAGCCAGGAUGUUGGCUUAGAAGCAGCCAUCAUUUAAAGAAAGCGUAAUAGCUCACUGGUCGAGUCGGCCUGCGCGGAAGAUGUAACGGGGCUAAACCAUGCACCGAAGCUGCGGCAGCGACGCUUAUGCGUUGUUGGGUAGGGGAGCGUUCUGUAAGCCUGCGAAGGUGUGCUGUGAGGCAUGCUGGAGGUAUCAGAAGUGCGAAUGCUGACAUAAGUAACGAUAAAGCGGGUGAAAAGCCCGCUCGCCGGAAGACCAAGGGUUCCUGUCCAACGUUAAUCGGGGCAGGGUGAGUCGACCCCUAAGGCGAGGCCGAAAGGCGUAGUCGAUGGGAAACAGGUUAAUAUUCCUGUACUUGGUGUUACUGCGAAGGGGGGACGGAGAAGGCUAUGUUGGCCGGGCGACGGUUGUCCCGGUUUAAGCGUGUAGGCUGGUUUUCCAGGCAAAUCCGGAAAAUCAAGGCUGAGGCGUGAUGACGAGGCACUACGGUGCUGAAGCAACAAAUGCCCUGCUUCCAGGAAAAGCCUCUAAGCAUCAGGUAACAUCAAAUCGUACCCCAAACCGACACAGGUGGUCAGGUAGAGAAUACCAAGGCGCUUGAGAGAACUCGGGUGAAGGAACUAGGCAAAAUGGUGCCGUAACUUCGGGAGAAGGCACGCUGAUAUGUAGGUGAAGCGACUUGCUCGUGGAGCUGAAAUCAGUCGAAGAUACCAGCUGGCUGCAACUGUUUAUUAAAAACACAGCACUGUGCAAACACGAAAGUGGACGUAUACGGUGUGACGCCUGCCCGGUGCCGGAAGGUUAAUUGAUGGGGUUAGCCGCAAGGCGAAGCUCUUGAUCGAAGCCCCGGUAAACGGCGGCCGUAACUAUAACGGUCCUAAGGUAGCGAAAUUCCUUGUCGGGUAAGUUCCGACCUGCACGAAUGGCGUAAUGAUGGCCAGGCUGUCUCCACCCGAGACUCAGUGAAAUUGAACUCGCUGUGAAGAUGCAGUGUACCCGCGGCAAGACGGAAAGACCCCGUGAACCUUUACUAUAGCUUGACACUGAACAUUGAGCCUUGAUGUGUAGGAUAGGUGGGAGGCUUUGAAGUGUGGACGCCAGUCUGCAUGGAGCCGACCUUGAAAUACCACCCUUUAAUGUUUGAUGUUCUAACGUUGACCCGUAAUCCGGGUUGCGGACAGUGUCUGGUGGGUAGUUUGACUGGGGCGGUCUCCUCCUAAAGAGUAACGGAGGAGCACGAAGGUUGGCUAAUCCUGGUCGGACAUCAGGAGGUUAGUGCAAUGGCAUAAGCCAGCUUGACUGCGAGCGUGACGGCGCGAGCAGGUGCGAAAGCAGGUCAUAGUGAUCCGGUGGUUCUGAAUGGAAGGGCCAUCGCUCAACGGAUAAAAGGUACUCCGGGGAUAACAGGCUGAUACCGCCCAAGAGUUCAUAUCGACGGCGGUGUUUGGCACCUCGAUGUCGGCUCAUCACAUCCUGGGGCUGAAGUAGGUCCCAAGGGUAUGGCUGUUCGCCAUUUAAAGUGGUACGCGAGCUGGGUUUAGAACGUCGUGAGACAGUUCGGUCCCUAUCUGCCGUGGGCGCUGGAGAACUGAGGGGGGCUGCUCCUAGUACGAGAGGACCGGAGUGGACGCAUCACUGGUGUUCGGGUUGUCAUGCCAAUGGCACUGCCCGGUAGCUAAAUGCGGAAGAGAUAAGUGCUGAAAGCAUCUAAGCACGAAACUUGCCCCGAGAUGAGUUCUCCCUGACUCCUUGAGAGUCCUGAAGGAACGUUGAAGACGACGACGUUGAUAGGCCGGGUGUGUAAGCGCAGCGAUGCGUUGAGCUAACCGGUACUAAUGAACCGUGAGGCUUAACCUUACAACGCCGAAGCUGUU